CCAAUUCCACCACCACCUACAGCAAAAAAGAAAGUUUAGUAAUCAAGCUCUCUCCUUCAACAAUGGCCGCCUCAACCAUGGCCCUCUCAUCCCCAUCUUUCGCUGGCAAGGCAGUGAAGCUCUCUCCAUUGACCCCGAGCUCGGCGUUGGUCGUGUCAGUAUGAGGAAAACUGCCACCAAGACCGUUUCCGGUAGCCCAUGGUAUGGUCCAGACCGUGUUAAGUACUUGGGCCCAUUCUCUGGAGAGCCUCCAUCCUACCUUACUGGGGAAUUCCCCGGUGAUUAUGGCUGGGACACCGCUGGACUUUCAGCUGAUCCAGAAACCUUUGCCAAGAACCGUGAGCUCGAGGUCAUCCACUCUAGGUGGGCCAUGCUCGGAGCCCUUGGGUGCGUCUUCCCGGAACUCUUGGCUCGCAACGGAGUCAAAUUCGGCGAGGCUGUUUGGUUCAAGGCUGGAGCACAAAUCUUCAGCGAGGGCGGGCUCGACUACUUGGGCAACCCAAGCUUGGUCCAUGCACAAAGCAUUUUGGCAAUCUGGGCCACACAGGUUAUCUUGAUGGGUGCUGUUGAGGGUUACCGUAUUGCAGGUGGGCCAUUGGGUGAGGUGACUGACCCAAUCUACCCAGGUGGAAGCUUUGACCCCUUGGGUCUUGCUGAUGACCCAGAAGCAUUUGCUGAGCUUAAGGUGAAGGAGCUCAAGAACGGGAGAUUGGCUAUGUUCUCUAUGUUUGGAUUCUUUGUUCAAGCCAUUGUGACAGGAAAGGGACCCUUGGAGAACCUGGCCGACCACCUUGCAGACCCUGUGAACAACAAUGCUUGGGCUUAUGCCACUAACUUUGUCCCCGGAAAGUGAAACAAUGUGAAUUUUCCCUUUUCGGACUGAUUUGGGAUGUAAAUUAUUGUUUGUUUGAAAAUGUAAUGAAGAGCUUAAUGUGAA
Juglans microcarpa x Juglans regia is the source of this 937-nucleotide RNA transcript. It is a transcript of the gene named chlorophyll a-b binding protein of LHCII type 1-like, with no coding region annotated. The record is from RefSeq and is a predicted model, not a curated record. Lineage: Eukaryota; Viridiplantae; Streptophyta; Magnoliopsida; Fagales; Juglandaceae. The transcript has a single exon.